UUUGGAGGGCAAGUCUGGUGCCAGCAGCCGCGGUAAUUCCAGCUCCAAUAGCGUAUAUUAAAGUUGCUGCAGUUAAAAAGCUCGUAGUUGAAUUUCGGGAUCAAUAUUUCGGUCAUGCCGUUGGUAUGCACUGUUAUCAUUGAUUUCUCACCUUCUAAAGAACCGUAAUGCCAUUAAUUUGGUGUUACGGGGAAUUAGGACUGUUACCUUGAAAAAAUUAGAGUGUUUAAAGCAGGCUCACGCUUGAAUACAUUAGCAUGGAAUAAUGAAAUAGGACAUCCGAUUCUAUUCUGUUGGUUUCUAGGAUCGAUGUAAUGAUUAAUAGGGAUAGUUGGGGGCAUUAGUAUUCAAUUGUCAGAGGGGAAAUUCUUGGAUUUAUUGAAGACUAACUACUGCGAAAGCAUUUGCCAAGGAUGUUUUCAUUAAUCAAGAACGAAAGUUAGGGGAUCGAAGACGAUCAGAUACCGUCGUAGUCUUAACCAUAAACUAUGCCGACUAGGGAUCGGAUGAUGUUAAUUUUUUAAUGACUCAUUCGGCGCCUUACGGGAAAC
Molecule: ribosomal RNA, 551 nt
Filed under: Funneliformis mosseae
Lineage: Eukaryota; Fungi; Glomeromycota; Glomeromycetes; Glomerales; Glomeraceae
Description: SSU rRNA
Rfam family: Eukaryotic small subunit ribosomal RNA
Source: RNAcentral